This 497-nucleotide ribosomal RNA is filed under the name uncultured bacterium. RNAcentral describes it as "partial 16S ribosomal RNA". It matches the Rfam family "Bacterial small subunit ribosomal RNA", at positions 28 to 507 of the family's 1533-position model. The record is from RNAcentral.
GAUGAACGCUGGCGGCGUGCCUAAUACAUGCAAGUCGAGCUAACAGACGAGGCGCUUGCUCCGCUGACGUUAGCGGCGGACGGGUGAGUCACACGUGGAUAACCUACCUAUAAGACUGGGAUAACUUCGGGAAACCGGAUCUAAUACCGGAUAAGAUAUUGAACCGCAUGGUUCAUUAGUGAAAGACGGUUUUGCUGUCACUUAUAGAUGUAUCCGCGCCGCAUUAGCUAGUUGGUAAGGUAACGGCUUACCAAGGCGACGAUGCGUAGCCGACCUGAGAGGGUGAUCGGCCACACUGGAACUGAGACACGGUCCAGACUCCUACGGGAGGCAGCAGUAGGGAAUCUUCCGCAAUGGGCGAAAGCCUGACGGAGCAACGCCGCGUGAGUGAUGAAGGUCUUCGGAUCGUAAAACUCUGUUAUUAGGGAAGAACAAAUGUGUAAGUAACUAUGCCCGUCUUGACGGUACCUAAUCAGAAAGUCCCGGCUAACUACGUG